Molecule: RNA transcript, 2769 nt
Organism: Trachemys scripta elegans
Lineage: Eukaryota; Metazoa; Chordata; Testudines; Emydidae
Gene: UROC1
Gene name: urocanate hydratase 1
Exons: 21
Source: RefSeq, a predicted model, not a curated record
UCAUAGCUGUUGCACAUCCCAGGUGUUCACACUCCUCCCUUUCCACGUCUCAUUCCCCUUGAACCAGCCUUUUCUUCAUCUCCUAUUUCCCUAGCAGACAUGUCUAGCCUGGAGGAAAUUUGUGGGGGACUUCCACUACAUCCCCUGCUGGAAAACAGAGGGCGAAAGAAAGGAGUGCCUCACGCGCCUGUGAGAACCCCCAACCUCACCGCUCAGGAAGAAAAGCUGGCUUUGCAAAAUGCCUUGCGUUAUUUCCCACCCGAAGUCCAUAAAGAGCUGGCGCUGGAAUUUGCAGAAGAGCUCAAGCUGUAUGGCCACAUAUACAUGUACAGAUUCUGUCCAGCAAUUGAGAUGAGAGCUUACCACAUCGAGGAAUAUCCUUGCAAAACCAAAUCAGCUGCUGCAAUAAUGCACAUGAUCAUGAAUAAUCUGGAUCCCUCAGUGGCCCAGUUUCCCCAGGAGCUUGUAACUUACGGAGGAAAUGGACAAGUCUUCAGCAAUUGGGCUCAGUUCUGGUUGGUGAUGCACUAUUUGUCUGAGAUGACCGAAGAGCAAACUUUAGUGAUGUACAGUGGACAUCCUUUGGGCCUCUUCCCCAGCCCUCGGUAUGCACCUCGAUUAAUCAUCACCAAUGGCAUGGUUAUUCCCAACUAUUCCUCCAGAGAUGAAUAUGAGAAAAUGUUUGCAAUGGGAGUUACAAUGUAUGGACAGAUGACAGCAGGGAGUUAUUGCUACAUUGGACCACAGGGAAUUGUCCAUGGAACUGUGCUAACAGUGCUGAAUGCAGGUCGUCGCUACUUGGGUGUGGAGGACCUGGCUGGGAGGGUGUUUGUCACCUCUGGUCUUGGAGGGAUGAGUGGUGCUCAAGCUAAAGCUGCAGUCAUUGCUGGAUGUGUGGGGAUCAUUGCUGAGGUUGACGAAGCUGCACUUUUGAAACGUUACAGGCAAGGCUGGCUGAUGGAAAUCACUGAUAGCCUGGACCACUGCAUUGCUCGGCUCAGAGAUGCAAGAGAGAAUAAAAUUACCCUCAGUUUGGGCUACCAUGGGAAUGUGGUAGAUCUUUGGGAGAGGUUUGUCUAUGAACUUGAUACAACAGGAGAACAACUAGUUGAUCUUGGAUCUGACCAAACCUCCUGUCACAAUCCGUUCAGUGGAGGAUACUACCCCGUGCAGCUGAGCUUUGAGGAGGCAAACCAGCUCAUGUCUACCAAUCCAGGGAGGUUCCGUAGCCUUGUGCAAGAAAGUCUGAGGAGACAAGUGGCUGCUAUAAACAGGCUGUCUGAUAAGGGCAUGUUUUUUUGGGACUAUGGCAAUGCUUUUCUCUUGGAAGCUCAGCGAGCCGGUGCUGAUGUCGAGAAAAGAGGAGCCAAUAAAAUUGAAUUCCGAUACCCUUCCUAUGUUCAGCACAUUAUGGGAGACAUUUUUUCCCUGGGAUUUGGACCAUUCCGCUGGGUUUGUACUUCAGGUGACCCACAGGAUCUGGCUACCACUGACUUAAUCGCCACAUCAGUGCUCGAAGAGGCUAUACAUCAGGGAGUCAGUGCAUCUGUGAAGCAGCAAUACCAUGACAAUAUCCACUGGAUUCGGGAAGCCGGGAAGCACAGCUUGGUAGUUGGCUCCCAAGCUAGAAUCUUGUACUCUGAUCAGAAGGGUCGUGUGUCUAUUGCGGUGGCUAUUAAUCGAGCCAUUGCUGAAAAAAGGAUUAAGGCACCGGUUGUCCUGAGUCGAGAUCACCACGAUGUGAGUGGCACCGACAGUCCUUACAGAGAGACCUCAAACAUUUAUGAUGGAUCAGCCUUUUGUGCAGAUAUGGCGGUACAGAAUUUUGUAGGAGAUGCAGUUAGAGGAGCCACUUGGGUUGCCUUGCAUAAUGGUGGUGGAGUUGGCUGGGGCGAAGUGAUAAAUGGAGGAUUUGGCCUUGUUCUGGAUGGAUCAACAGAGGCUGAGGAACAAGCUAAGAUAAUGCUCAGCUGGGAUGUUUCCAAUGGAGUAGCUAGACGCUGUUGGUCGGGCAACAGUAAUGCCUAUGAAACAAUCUGCCAAGCGAUGGAGGAGACUGGUAAAUUAAAGGUGACUCUCCCACACAAGGUGGUAGACGAAAGCAUUUUGGAGCAAGCCCUGCAUCGUUAAUUGCAUUCGGAAUUCACUAUGCUCCUUUCACACACAUUUUGAAGUUGCUUUCUUGUUACCCAACCUCACUCUCUGGCAAGCAAUUUUAUAUUUGCUAUGAAACAAAGGAAUUUUUAGUGCAUCUACUUGCACCAGGGUUUGCCUGGAAAAAUGGUCACCUGAGAUUUGCACGAAAGACAGAAAAGGGAGUCUCUUUAAUUGAACAGAAAGCAAUGCCAGAAGCAGUGACUGGAAAAGAACAAGGGUGGUAAGCACUAAAUCAUUUCAAUAAAGUUAACAUCAAGGCCAGGAAAAUGUGUAAAACAGCUUCGUGAGCUGUUGUGUGGGCCAAAUUCAAUGCCGGUCCAAAGAGGUGCAAUUCCAUUGAGUUUGACCCAUCCAUUGGAAGGACUGUGACGGAUUUGCUCUUUCAUAACAGCUCUCUCCAUUAUCUCAGCAAAUGAAGCCACUUAUUAGAUUGAUAGAGACCUUUUAGUCUGGUCUAUACUUGAAGUUCUAUCAGCAUAGAUACAUCGGUCAGGGGUGUGAACAAUAAACACACAUACCCCAACCAACAUCCUCAUGAUGACAUAACCCACCGCAUGGAUGCAGCUAUGUUGAUUAAAGAGGGCUUAUGUCAAUGUAGCUAACGUCACAAGG